Molecule: transfer RNA, 78 nt
Filed under: Gammaproteobacteria bacterium
Lineage: Bacteria; Pseudomonadati; Pseudomonadota; Gammaproteobacteria
Description: tRNA-Met
Rfam family: tRNA
About the family: Transfer RNA (tRNA) molecules are approximately 80 nucleotides in length.
Source: RNAcentral
GGCUAGGUAGCUCAGCUGGUUUAGAGCACACGAUUCAUAAUCGUGGGGUCGGGAGUUCAAGUCUCCCCCUAGCUACCA